Non-coding RNA from Caenorhabditis elegans, 95 nucleotides. The record is from Ensembl. NCBI's taxonomy places the organism in Eukaryota, Metazoa, Nematoda, Chromadorea, Rhabditida, Rhabditidae.
CGGAGAACAGGCUGCAAUGAGAAAGUGCACAGCGAGAUUUUCUUGGGUCAGUAAUAGCUUCCCGGGUAUGGAACAAUAUGAAGAUGUCCUUGCUU